AUGGGGAAUGUGGCGAGUCGGAUGAGGAAAUGGCAUAAAGAGGUCACUGGAGAGCUGGAAUGUAGGCUUCAAAAGGCCCGUGCUGAUCUAGAAAGGUUCAAGAAGGAGUCGGUGUCCAAACAGAAGAUUAGGGAGGAAGCGAGGCUUAGAUGUGUGGUGGGUGAUUUGGAGGAUAAAAAGUAUACCAAGGCCAAACAGAGAACACAUACCUCAUGGCUGAAAUAUGGCAACAGGAACACGAGAUAUUUCAUGGCCUUCGCAUCGGCUCGGAAGAAGUUGAAUAGGGUGAAUAAAUUGAGAAGAGAGGAUGGGUCGGUGCUGGAGGAGGGGCCGGAGCUGUCUAACUAUAUUUGA
RNAcentral lists this ribosomal RNA (354 nucleotides) under Triticum aestivum (bread wheat). Its description in RNAcentral is "partial small subunit ribosomal RNA". Lineage: Eukaryota; Viridiplantae; Streptophyta; Magnoliopsida; Poales; Poaceae. The record is from RNAcentral.